RNAcentral lists this ribosomal RNA (423 nucleotides) under uncultured eukaryote. Its description in RNAcentral is "bacterial SSU rRNA". It matches the Rfam family "Eukaryotic small subunit ribosomal RNA", at positions 592 to 1018 of the family's 1831-position model. The record is from RNAcentral.
CAAUAGCGUAUAUUAAAGUUGUUGCAGUUAAAAAGCUCGUAGUUGGAUUUCUGGCAGGAGCGACCGGUCCGCCGCAAGGUGUGCACUAGGUUGUCUCCAGUCAUCUUUGUGGGAACUGCUCUGGCAUUAGGUUGUCGGGGUUAGGGAACACAUCGUUCACUGUGAAAAAAUUAGAGUGUUUAAAGCAGGCUUAUGCCGUUGAAUACAUUAGCAUGGAAUAAUAAGAUAGGACUUUGGUGGUCUAUUUUGUUGGUUUGCACACCAAGGUAAUGAUUAAUAGGGAUAGUUGGGGGUGCUAGUAUUGAGAGGCCAGAGGUGAAAUUCUUGGAUUCUCUCAAGACUAACUUAUGCGAAAGCAUUCACCAAGGAUGUCUUCUUUAAUCAAGAACGAAAGUUGGGGGAUCGAAGAUGAUCAGAUACCAU